CCUACGGGAGGCAGCAGUGGGGAAUAUUGGGCAAUGGGCGCAAGCCUGACCCAGCAACGCCGCGUGAAGGAAGAAGGCUCUCGGGUUGUAAACUUCUUUUAUCAGGGACGAAGCAAGUGACGGUACCUGAUGAAUAAGCCACGGCUAACUACGUGCCAGCAGCCGCGGUAAUACGUAGGUGGCAAGCGUUAUCCGGAUUUACUGGGUGUAAAGGGCGUGUAGGCGGGAAAGCAAGUCAGAUGUGAAAACCAUGGGCUCAACCUGUGGCCUGCAUUUGAAACUGUUUUUCUUGAGUACUGGAGAGGCAGACGGAAUUCCUGGUGUAGCGGUGAAAUGCGUAGAUAUUAGGAGGAACACCAGUGGCGAAGGCGGUCUGCUGGACAGCAACUGACGCUCAUGCACGAAAGUGUGGGUAUCGAACAGGAUUAGAUACCCGGGUAGUC
Molecule: ribosomal RNA, 443 nt
Filed under: uncultured bacterium
Lineage: Bacteria
Description: partial 16S ribosomal RNA
Rfam family: Bacterial small subunit ribosomal RNA
Source: RNAcentral